GACGAACGCUGGCGGCGUGCCUAAUACAUGCAAGUAGAGCGCUGAAGGAAGGAGCUUGCUCUUUCUGGAUGAGUUGCGAACGGGUGAGUAACGCGUAGGUAACCUGCCUGGUAGCGGGGGAUAACUAUGGGAAACGAUAGCUAAUACCGCAUAACAUUGAUUAUUGCAUGAUAGUCAAUUAAAAGGUGCAACUGCACCACUACCAGAUGGACCUGCGUUGUCUUAGCUAGUUGGUGGGGGAAAGGGCUACCAAGGCGACGAUACAUAGCCCACCUGAGAGGGGUAUCGGCCACACUGGGAACUGGACACGGCCCAGACCUCUACGGGAGGCAGCAGUAGGGAAUCUUCGGCAAUUGACGGAAGUCUGACCGAGCAACGCCGCGGGAGUGAAAAAAGUUUUCGGAUCGUAAAGCUCUUGUGUAAGGGAAGAACGAAAUGUGGAGUGGAAAGUGCACACUGUGACGGUAUCUAACCAGAAAGGCACGGCUAACUACGUG
This 497-nucleotide ribosomal RNA is filed under the name uncultured bacterium. RNAcentral's name for it is "partial 16S ribosomal RNA". It matches the Rfam family "Bacterial small subunit ribosomal RNA", at positions 28 to 507 of the family's 1533-position model. The record is from RNAcentral.